This 1462-nucleotide ribosomal RNA is filed under the name uncultured Bordetella sp. RNAcentral's name for it is "partial 16S-23S ribosomal RNA intergenic spacer". It matches the Rfam family "Bacterial small subunit ribosomal RNA". The record is from RNAcentral. Lineage: Bacteria; Pseudomonadati; Pseudomonadota; Betaproteobacteria; Burkholderiales; Alcaligenaceae.
AGUUCGAUUCUGGCUCAGAUUGAACGCUGGCGGGAUCGCUGCAUGCAAGUCGAACGGCAGCACGGACUUCGGUCUGGUGGCGAGUGGCGAACAGGUGAGUAACCUCCGGAACGUCACCUAGUAGCGGGGGAUAACUUCCACGCGAAAGCGUAGCUAAUACCGCAUACGCCCUUCGAAGGAAAGCGGGGACCUUCGGGCCUCGCACUAUUAAAACGGCGAUAUCGGAUUAGCUAGUUGGUGGGGUAACGGCUCACCAAGGCGACGAUCCGUAGCUGGUUUUGAAGGACGACCAGCCACACUGGGACUGAGACACGGCCCGGGCCUACAGGGAGGCAGCAGUGGGGAAUUUUGGACAAUGGGGGAAACCCUGAUCCAUGUCCGCGUGUGCGAUGAAGGCCUUCGGGUUGUAAAGCACUUUUGGCAGGAAAGAAACGGCUGGACCAUGCGUGCAACUGACGGCAGAAAUGGCACCGGCUAACUACGUGCCAGCAGCCGCGGUAAUACGUAGGGUGCAGAAGCGUUAAUCGGAAUUACUGGGCGUAAAGCGUGCGCAGGCGGUUCGGAAAAAAGAUGUGAAAUCCAGACAACUUGCUGGAACUUCUUUUUUAACUACCGAGCUAAAGUCGUGUCGGAAGGAGGUGAAUUCGCGUGUAGCAGUGAAAGUAAAUGAAUAUUCUGGAGGAACACCGAUGGCGAAGGCAGCCUCCUGGGAUAACAUGACGCUCAUGCACGAAAGCGUAGAGCAAACGGGAUUAGGUACCCUGGUAGUCCACGCCCUAAACGAUGUCAACUAGCUGUUGGGGCCUUCGGGCCAUGGUAGCGCAGCUAACGCUGGCGUGAAGUUGACCGCGGGAAAUAGGUCGCAAGAUUAAAACUCGAGAAUUGACGGGGACCACUUUGCAGCGGUGGAUGAUGUGGAUUAAUUCGAUGCAACGCGAAAAACCUUACCUACCCUUGACAUGUCUGAGAUCCAGAAGAGAUUUGGGAGUGCUCGCAAGAGAGCCGGAACACAGGUGCUGCAUGGCUGUCGUCAGCUCGUGUGUCGUGAGAUGUUGGGUUAAGUCCCGCAACGAGCGCAACCCUUGUCAUCGAUUUGCUACGAGGGCACUCUAAUGAGACUGCCGGUGACAAACCGGAGGAAGGUGGGGAUGACGUCAAGUCCUCAUGGCCCAUAUGGGUAGGGAACUGCGUCAUACAAUGGUCGGGACAGAGGGUCGCCAGCCGCGAGGGGGGAGCCAAUCCCAGAAACCCGAUCGUAGUCCGGAUCGCAGUCUGCAACUCGACUGCGUGAUCGGAAUCGCUAGUAAUCGCGGAUCGGCGCAUCGCGGUGAAUACGUUCCCGGGUCUUGUACACCGCCCAUGCACCAUGGGAGUAGGUUUUACCAGAAGUAGUUAGCCUAACCGUAAGGAGGGCAGUGCACCACGGUAGGAUUCAUGACUGGGGUGAAGUCGUAGCUAAGAC